AUCAAAGUAGCUUUUCUUAACAAAUUUAACAGGUAUAAGAAGAGGUAGUCGAGUUGCUGACGUGCACAUAUAAAACCAUUAGCUCGAUAAAACCACUUUACAGCAUGACAAAAAUUGUCGUGACUGCAAAAAUAGUGUGGAACGUCAUUUCUAUGUAUCGUCUGCUUUUAAAAGACAACCUAGAACAGAAUGUUGCAGUAGCUAGUUAGUUGAGGACAUGCUUCUCUUCCUGAUGUUCCCACCGCGGUUGUUUUUUCUGAAUUUUCAGAUCCAGAUGUUGAUGACCAGCCUUCAGGGAUUACAAUUUUUGCUGAUGAAUCAACUAAGGAAGAAACUGAAGAGGGGGAAAUUCUUCAUCCAACUGCUGCUGAGCCAUCCAAGAAAAUGAGUGUUAAAUUUCCUGGAAUAAAUGCUCCAAUACCAGAAAAUGCAGACGAAAGACUUUGGGCAACUGGGUCUUCAAGAUACAAUGUUUCUAGAGAUGGUUCAUACCGUGGACAUAACCACUCGUCUGAAAACUUCAGCAGACGGCACUAUCAUCAACAAAAGUGGUCCAGUGAUUUUGAAGAUGAUAGUCCUCCUGGAGUUGAUCCUGGACGUCGACCCUCAAAUCAUUCUCAUAGAUAUGGUGGUUAUGACUCCAGUUUCUCUUCCCCUAGUGCUAGAUCUAGUCGUCAUGGCCGAUCCUCGUCGGACAGAGGUAGAAGAAGCUCUCUAGUGCAAGAUGGUUCCUCAAACUAUGGCCAGUAUGGUACUGCACAUUCUUCACCCCACAGAUAGGCUGACAUAGGGAUUAUUUCAAAUCCAAUGUGGACAAUUGGGCGAUGGCUGAUGCAAAAUUUUUGCUAACCAGGAAAGACGUUCAUGUAGGAGGGAAAUCACAGGACAAACAUUCUUUUGAAUUGAAGGGGGUCAGUGUACAUAAUUAGAUGUAUAUUCAAUUAUUGUAAACUAAUAAUUCGUGCUCCAUUGAGGGUGGUUGAAUUGUUGUAUUAUCACACUGUUUUCAUCCUCUAAUUUUAUGUAACGUUUAUCAAUGACAUUGUUGUCCUCCCUUUGCCAUGCAUGUCAAGAAAAAUUGAAAUUCAGGACGCAGGAGGCAAAUUCAGCCUUUCUCAUCUUUAACAAAUUUUAGGUCAAUUGCUGAAGUUUUAAGUUAUGAACGGAAGUGGUCGGUUUUCUUCUUGAAUUGUCUGUGUAUUCGUGUCCAUGGAGAGAGGGAUCUUGAUAUUUAAUACCCUAGUUGGCACUUCUGUUAUCUCUUUGUAUUCAUAAUCCUUACACAUUCACAUUAUUAUUUUUGUCUAAAAAAGAUUUUCAUUGCACUUUUAUUUUGAAAUUAAUAUAAAUUGAUCUAAUGAUGGUUUGUUUUCAAAAUUUUCUUUAAGAUGGAGUUACAAGACUUAUUUGCCUAUGUAUUUUUAGAUAAGUAUGAAAAAUGAUAAUGCGAAAAUACAACUAAAAAUUUGAUCCUCAUUUUAAAGAACGUCGACAAUUUUUUUUGGAUAACUGUGAUUGAGGGCUAUUUUUUGAUUGAUGAAAUGUUAAAAAUAAGUAUGUGAGGAAAAAAAUUAAGGAUAAAAACAUGAUAAUAAAUAAUGGUUAAUGACCUUUAUUUUAAUUAAAAAAUAACGUAUCUAUAUAUAAAAAUAUAGAUAUGGGGUGAAUAUAACCAUCCAUUGUAUAUAAUUAUAACUUAUGAUUUUCCUCAUGUAUAUUAUUUUAAUAGAGUUCAUAUAGUUCUUAUUAAUUAAAUAUAAAUUUCACUAAAUGUUUGACAGCUUGAAGCCAAUUACUCAAAAUAUAUUUUCUUUUAUAUUUAUGAGACAACGAGGUCAUCUUACUCAAACAAAUUUCACUUCAUUUUUUUGCAUACUUCUCUUCGUAUUUCUUUUCUAUUAAGUCAAUAAGAGCAUCUUCAAUACAUUCAUUCUCAGACAUCGCCUCCAGUUACUACCCCAAUUGCAAGAUGUGGUCUCCAUUUCUAAAAGUGCAAGAUGGUUCCUCAAAGAUAAAUCUUCUUGGACAGCCCUGUCCAAACAGAGCGAGCAAUGAGGGGGCGCGUACGGAUAGUGGUCCUGUCUGUCCAGCACAGUCCGAUUCCUCAAACAAUUGUCAGUAUAGUACCGGCUGCACAUUCAUCAUUUCCAGAUAGUUUGAUAUAGGACUACUGUUCUUUUGAAUUGAAGGGGUUGAUAGACGUGUAAUCAAUAAUUGUUAAUAUUUGUAAUCCAUUUUUAUCUAAUUCCCGCGAACUACAGCCGAAAUAAUAAUGGAACUGCAAUCAAUCCAAUAUUUGACACCUAUCUGAACACGAUUAAAAAAAGUUUGUUUUCUCUCAUGUCAUCAAAGUAGCUUUUCUUAACAAAUUUAACAGGUAUAAGAAGAGGUAGUCGAGUUGCUGACGUGCACAUAUAAAACCAUUAGCUCGAUAAAACCACUUUACAGCAUGACAAAAAUUGUCGUGACUGCAAAAAUAGUGUGGAACGUCAUUUCUAUGUAUCGUCUGCUUUUAAAAGACAACCUAGAACAGAAUGUUGCAGUAGCUAGUUAGUUG
This 2557-nucleotide long non-coding RNA is filed under the name Olea europaea (common olive). RNAcentral describes it as "long non-coding RNA (OEUR_LNC003396)". Lineage: Eukaryota; Viridiplantae; Streptophyta; Magnoliopsida; Lamiales; Oleaceae. The record is from RNAcentral.